GUAGGGAAUCUUCGGCAAUGGACGAAAGUCUGACCGAGCAACGCCGCGUGAGUGAAGAAGGUUUUCGGAUCGUAAAACUCUGUUGGUAGAGAAGAACGUUGGUGAGAGUGGAAAGCUCAUCAAGUGACGGUAACUACCCAGAAAGGGACGGCUAACUACGUGCCAGCAGCCGCGGUAAUACGUAGGUCCCGAGCGUUGUCCGGAUUUAUUGGGCGUAAAGCGAGCGCAGGUGGUUUCUUAAGUCUGAUGUAAAAGGCAGUGGCUCAACCAUUGUGUGCAUUGGAAACUGGGAGACUUGAGUGCAGGAGAGGAGAGUGGAAUUCCAUGUGUAGCGGUGAAAUGCGUAGAUAUAUGGAGGAACACCGGAGGCGAAAGCGGCUCUCUGGCCUGUAACUGACACUGAGGCUCGAAAGCGUGGGGAGCAAACAGGAUUAGAUACCCCAGUAGUCC
This 450-nucleotide ribosomal RNA is filed under the name uncultured bacterium. Its description in RNAcentral is "partial 16S ribosomal RNA". It matches the Rfam family "Bacterial small subunit ribosomal RNA", at positions 354 to 796 of the family's 1533-position model. The record is from RNAcentral.